This 267-nucleotide ribosomal RNA is filed under the name uncultured archaeon. RNAcentral describes it as "partial 16S ribosomal RNA". It matches the Rfam family "Archaeal small subunit ribosomal RNA", at positions 719 to 982 of the family's 1478-position model. The record is from RNAcentral.
ACACGACUACAUUAGACUACCCGUGUAGUCCAGGGUGUAAACGCUGCGGGCUUGGUGUUGGGGGUCCUUUGAGGGCGCCCAGUGCCGGAGAGAAGUUGUUAAGCCUGCUGCUUGGGGAGUACGUCCGCAAGGAUGAAACUUAAAGGAAGUUGGCGGGGGAGCACCGCAACGGGAGGAGCGUGCGGUUCAAUUGGAUUCAACGCCGGACAACUCACCAGGAGCGACGGUUACAUGAAGGCCAGGCUGAUGACCUUGCCUGAUUUUCCG